Molecule: ribosomal RNA, 560 nt
Filed under: Chlamydomonas raudensis
Lineage: Eukaryota; Viridiplantae; Chlorophyta; Chlorophyceae; Chlamydomonadales; Chlamydomonadaceae
Description: eukaryotic LSU rRNA
Rfam family: Eukaryotic large subunit ribosomal RNA
Source: RNAcentral
AAACUAACCAGGAUUCCCCUAGUAACGGCGAGUGAACCGGGAUCAGCCCAACUUGAAAAUCUCUUCGGAGAAUUGUAGUCUAUAGAAGCGUCCUCUGUAGCGGUACUUUCCCAAGUCCGGUGGAAGCCGGCGUCAGAGAGGGUGAAAACCCCGUCGGAAACGUGCUUAGCUGCUCCACGAGGUGCUUUCCACGAGUCGGGUUGUUUGGGAAUGCAGCCCAAAUCGGGAGGUAAAUCCCUUCUAAGGCUGAAUACUGGCGAGAGACCGAUAGCGAACAAGUACCGUGAGGGAAAGAUGAAAAGAACUUUGAAAAGAGAGUUAAAAAGUGCUUGAAAUUGUUGAGAGGGAAGCGAUUGGAAGCCGUGUAUGCGCCUGGGUCGAUGUGUAUCUUAACGGAUGCUCUGUAGAUGCCAGGUGCUGGUCAACAUGGGUUCGUUGGCCGGGAUAAAUGCUUGGGGUGAUUCCCUUUGUUUAUGCCGGUUGAUGGACCAAGGCGUUGAACGUUGCUUUGUCCUAUGGAACUGCAUCGUCAAUAUGUUGGCAGAAGGCUUCCAAUCGGC